UGUAUAUAUUUAGAAGGUGAAUUUUUGUCGAUUUGGCAGGUAGACAUUUUGGAUUUUGGCCGGUCGAGAAACUUCAAAGUUUGUUUACUUAAUCAUAUGGUUUGGGACUACCAAAAUAAACAAACAUAAAGCAUCGUUUUUCGGUUCAGUAAACCAAGUUUCUACAUUUAUCAUCGUCGUUGCACAUAGCACUGAAGAUAAACAGUUCCUUUACCAGCUCUAAAAAGAAAUUUGCGUGACGUUGUUUUCUUCAUACAGCUACCAAAGGCCUAUCGGACGUAUCGAAUUACGGCAUACCACUCGAUAAAAUUACACUGGUAGAUUAAGUGAAGCUGUUCGAUUCUCGUGCUAAGUACCAUAAAUUACAAGGAAUAGGAUAGAAUUGUGCCGCAUCCACCUCGAAACCCUUAUCUUUCGUACCCGUCAGGCGUAUAAUGCUUCACUGGAUAGCAUUAGCAAUUAUGCGUAGAUUGUUCGGAAAGUUUCACUAUGAUUUGAAAGCACCAGCACCACCAGUGCGUGGACCGUAAAGUAUCAGUAUCAUGAUGUGCUGCCUCCACUGGAUCCAGGUAAGGACUCCAUCGAUCAUCGGUGUAAGAACGUUUAUAUUGAAUGA
This is a long non-coding RNA of Anopheles stephensi (Asian malaria mosquito), 616 nucleotides long. RefSeq lists it as uncharacterized. Lineage: Eukaryota; Metazoa; Arthropoda; Insecta; Diptera; Culicidae. The transcript is spliced from 2 exons. The record is from RefSeq and is a predicted model, not a curated record.